GAGUUCAUGCCCUCACGGGUAGAUCUCCCACCCUUGAAUAUUCUACCUUUGUUGCUUUGGCAGGCCGCUUCGGCUACCGGCUUCGGCUGGUGAGUGCCUGCCAGAGGACCCAAACUCUGAAUUUAUAGUGUCGUCUGAGUACUAUAUAAUAGUUAAAACUUUCAACAACGGAUCUCUUGGUUCU
This 184-nucleotide unclassified non-coding RNA is filed under the name rhizosphere metagenome. RNAcentral's name for it is "partial ribosomal RNA internal transcribed spacer region". The record is from RNAcentral.